This 290-nucleotide ribosomal RNA is filed under the name Guinotia dentata. RNAcentral's name for it is "partial 12S ribosomal RNA". The record is from RNAcentral. Lineage: Eukaryota; Metazoa; Arthropoda; Malacostraca; Decapoda; Pseudothelphusidae.
AUUUUCUUGAAAUUUAAAGAAUUUGGCGGUAAUUAAUCUUAUCAGAGGAACCUGUUUUGUAGUCGAUAAUCCACGAAAUAUCUUACUUAUUUUAAAAAAGAAGUUUGUAUACCGUCAUUAUUAGAUAAUUUUUAGAGAAUAUUAUUAGAAGGAGGUAAAAAGUUAAGUAAAUUAGAUCAAGGUGCAGCUUAUAAAUAAGGAAAAAUGGGUUACAAUAAUAUUUAUUAAUUAUAACGGAUUUAUUGAUUAAAUUUAAUUAAUAAAGGAGGAUUUGAUUGUAAUAAAAAUUU